AUCUCUGUAAUAAAUAAAAAUAAAAAUUAAAUUUUUUCCGCUGAAAUUGACAUAAAUUUUUGUGAAAAAAAUUUAAUAAAAAAGUACAAUUUAAUAAAACAUACCGGAUCAUAAACUACAAGUUAAAAAGUUUAUUAGAUUCCCAUUUAUUAACCGAAUAUCUAACCAGAUUAACAAAUGUUUCAAUAAAACUAAUAUUCAACUGGUGUUUUACUACUUAGUCAAAAUUAACUCAAUUUAUUCAAGAUUAAAAGAUAAAGUUGAUAAAGGGGAUCAGUCCGAGAUUGUAUAUUAGAUACCAUGUGAAUGUAUCAGGUGCUACGUGGGACAAACGAAGCAAAAACUCAAGAAAAGACUGGAUCAACAUAAGAAUGACUGCAGGCCGAUUAAUAUACUCAAAACAAAUUCUACUGCACUCGCUGAUCAUCAUUUCAAGACUGGACACAAUUUUAAAUUUGACAUGGCAACUAUUUUAGAUAUAGAAGACAAUUGGUUCAAGAGAAAUAUUAGUGAAAUGAUCCAUAUAAAAAGAAAUAAUACAGUGAAUCUAAGAACAGACACCAAUAAUUUAAGUAGUAUUUAUAAUGAUAUUCUAAAUGUUUCCGCGAGAAUUUAGUUGACAUAAAGAUCAUAGAUGUCACUGUAGUAUUAUUAUUGUAACUUAGUUAUUAUACACUAUCUAAGGGUAUAACAGUAUUACAAUUAAUAUUGAUGUUGAUACAUUUAGUAAUAAUUUUGUUAAAUAACUUGUCUGUUUAUGUUUUUAAAAAUAAUGUUAAUUGACAUUGGAUUCAUUAUAACACUAUUACCAAUGGUUCUUACGUUUUAUAUAAUAGCAUAUAAUAGAUUGUAAACCAUAAUGAUUAAGUUGCUGAUGAAGUCCUAAUAAAGGACGAAACGUACAACAAAGAUCAAAUUGAUGGUUUGAAUUUUUAUUUUGUCCUGAAUUCCUGUGAACAUUCCUGUUAUUAUUUAAUAAAAAAGUUUCAACUGUGAUAAUUAAAAAAAAUUAAAAGGAGAAAUUUUUAAAAGUA
This is a long non-coding RNA of Cotesia glomerata, 1034 nucleotides long. RefSeq lists it as uncharacterized. Lineage: Eukaryota; Metazoa; Arthropoda; Insecta; Hymenoptera; Braconidae. The transcript has 2 exons. The record is from RefSeq and is a predicted model, not a curated record.